This is a long non-coding RNA of Cryptomeria japonica (Japanese cedar), 2601 nucleotides long. RefSeq lists it as uncharacterized. The record is from RefSeq and is a predicted model, not a curated record. The transcript has 3 exons. Lineage: Eukaryota; Viridiplantae; Streptophyta; Pinopsida; Cupressales; Cupressaceae.
UCUAGAAACCCUAAGGGUUUACAAUUUGUUCCUUAUCUGUUAUAUAUGUUUAGGAUUCAGGAUUGGGUUAUCUCUGAGUAUGUUGUAGUUUUAGUUGGGGUUGAAGAUGGCAGCAGGGCUUGCCGUGGAUCAAGAAAUAUCGGAUGGGGUAACGCUAUUGAUGGACUUAAGAAAGGGCUUUGAGUGGUUGGAGAAGCUCAGAAAUAUAUGUGGUUAUCUGCAAGCUAUAGAUCAACUAAGAGCCCGCGAUCUUUCUGUGAAACAAUGGCGGCAGGAAGUGAGGGAUGUCGUGGAGCACAAGGAGGAUGAAUUUCUGAGAUUGUUGCUUUCAUGGGAAUGGGCGAUCUGGGUAAAUAUUUUCAGAAAAAUUUGAUAGCAAUAUCGCAAGGCUUGAGGAGAUAUCUGAAAACAGACAAGUGGUGUUAAAGGAGAGGAUAAAUGAAAGCGAGGAAAUUGAAAUGAAGUCAGAAGCCAAUAAUGCCCAGGCACUCGAAUUCUGCUUUUAGAUCUACAUGUGGUGCUGUCUGUGUGAAUGGCUUAUUCCUGUAAACAGCUACACUCCCCUGAACGGUAGCAGCUGCUUAAUUCUUCCCUUUGGCUUAUCCACAGAGCAAACACAAACCACAAUAUAACAAUCCAUAAUCCAGCAUCCAGGCCUCUAAAGAGAAGGAGAAGUGUCAACAGUGGUAGUCAUGGAGACAUACAAACAGCUGACGGAGGUCUCCAAGUUGAGAAUCCUCCAAGCCAAAAAUCCAUCCCGAAAAUGGAAGCUAUGAACACUGAUAAUGGCAGCCAAGGAGAAAGCAAUCAUAGUGACAGUGGCUCCUUUUCUUCUCUUUUCAUUCUCUGUUUUCACAGCUCUCUGUCCCCUCAAAAUAUAGCAGUAGCCCCACCAGAAUAGUAUUCCAUGGCGUGCCUCUAUAACCCUUUCCGGCAACUUUAAAGUCAAGGCAACCCCUGCAAUAAAGCCAUCAACCCUCCUUGUGUGGCCCCCACAGGCAAAGUAUUGCCCUUCUCAUCCACUCCAUGCUGCUGGGUAGUGGGCAAGUCAAAAUUCAGUGCAACAGAUGGAUGCCAUUUCCUUCUUCAAUGGUGUUCACAGGCCUUUUGUCUAGUCCAACAACCUAUCUUCCCUCUUGGGUAUACAGACCAUGUCUUAUUUGAUGAAAUGCUAUUAUUUUAUUGCUUUCUACCUCCAAAAAGGCACUUCUCAUUCCGUUAAUUUAUUUUCUAUUUCAUAUAUAUGUUGUUCACUAAAGGGCUCACUGAACGUGUUGAUUGUAGAUUCAUUCUAAACUGCUGGAGCUCAGGCAUAAACCUCAAUGAGAAGAUUUACCCUUUCCAAGACAACUUCGGGUAUAAACCUUCUAAACAGAUUCCCUGCAUUACAACAUCUCUACAGGCAAGUGAAUGAAUACUAUUCAGUUGUUUUCCUAUCACUUGGUUUGCCUAAAUCCACAGGAGUUGCAUGGAAAAUAAUCCUGGUAUGCAAUAAGCAAGGUUAUUGCAUCAGUCAUCAUCGAGGGCAGAGGAAAAUUAUUAAGAGGAACAUUUCAGUACUUGUAUAGAUGGAGGGAUUGUGACUCUAAAGAUCAUAAAGAGGAUUGAAUAGUAAAUGUUCUGGUCUAUGAUAAAAAGGUCUCUUUGGAUUGUGGAUGCUUUUGGUUUGAAUCGAUUUGAGGUAAAAGUAGUUGGUUUGGCGAAAUCAUAAGAGUUCUUGGGGAUGUGUGUUUUUGGUUCAUAAGAUUAGUAUAAAAUGCAGAAAACUCAAAUGUUUGUCACUGCUAAACAUGAUUACGAUGGAAGUUUUCUGGGCCAUUCCUCAGGAAACUAAAGAUUCAAUCAAGGACUUAAUAGAGUGGAAACCAAAAAUGUAAAGAGGCUAAAAACAAGUGUUACAAACUUACGGGCAAAAUUUACAAAGAGCUGAAGUCCUAGCAAUAAGGGCGGUGUUGAUGUGUUUUUUAGGCACAUGCGAACACAAAAUAAAAUAUCCAAAAGUAUCGUAUCCUCUUUUGAGCAAAGUUAUUCAAAUGUUGAAGAUUGACUUAAGGAUCACUUGAGACAACUCAAAGGUUCUUGUAUAUCAAGUCAUGACGUGUGGAUGGGCUCGUUGGUUUGAUGUGAUUAUGCUGGAAUCAUGAGGGAACUUACGUUGAAUUGUUGAAUGUUUGAAUUGCUGGAACUUAGAUCUUAAGUACUUGCUUGGAGAAUAAAGAAAGAGCCAAAGGAAUGCAAGAGAAUGAGUGAAUGAUUCGAUGGAAUCCUACUGCGUGAGGUUUCACCAUCAAACUGAACAAUUUGACACAAGCUCAAUGCAAUCUUCUAAGGGAUAAUUCAAAGAUGUUCAAAUCAUUAUCAUCAAACAUUGAUCACCAUUUAAAUUAAUGCAUAAACAAUACAUGUAUAGUGAUUUAAAGUUAAGCUUAUAUCAUUCCAAUUGACACACUUACAAUCAACAAGAGGCUAGUGGUAUAGACUAAAUGGAUUCUGCACAAAUGCAUUCAACAAAUUCUUCCAUUCAAUCUAAUCAACAUGAAAGCAAAUUGAGAAGUAAAGACCAUGCAAGUUGUUGAAGUAACAAAUCAAAUUUACCAUAAC